Molecule: ribosomal RNA, 253 nt
Filed under: uncultured bacterium
Lineage: Bacteria
Description: partial 16S ribosomal RNA
Rfam family: Bacterial small subunit ribosomal RNA
Source: RNAcentral
UACGAAGGGGGCUAGCGUUGCUCGGAGUUACUGGGCGUAAAGGGCGCGUAGGCGGAUAUUUAAGUCGGGGGUGAAAGCCCAGGGCUCAACCCUGGAAUUGCCUUCGAUACUGGAUAUCUUGAGUUCGGGAGAGGUGAGUGGAAUGCCGAGUGUAGAGGUGAAAUUCGUAGAUAUUCGGCGGAACACCAGUGGCGAAGGCGACUCACUGGCCCGAUACUGACGCUGAGGCGCGAAAGCGUGGGGAGCAAACAGG